Non-coding RNA from Caenorhabditis elegans, 130 nucleotides. Lineage: Eukaryota; Metazoa; Nematoda; Chromadorea; Rhabditida; Rhabditidae. The record is from Ensembl.
CGUCCUUCUUCUUCUUCUUCGUCUUUCAACGACGACGGCAGUGCACAAAACAAUUGACUGGAGGCUCCUGAAGGGAAGAAGGCGGCGCCCAUCGUGUCGCUCCCUUUCUUCCCGUCAAGCACAAGGAAAC